Non-coding RNA from Sarcophilus harrisii (Tasmanian devil), 150 nucleotides. RefSeq annotates it as microRNA mir-140. The record is from RefSeq and is marked provisional. The transcript has a single exon. NCBI's taxonomy places the organism in Eukaryota, Metazoa, Chordata, Mammalia, Dasyuromorphia, Dasyuridae.
UUGUGGGCUUCCGGUGUGGCUCCUGCCCUUUGUGUGUGUGUGUCUCUCUCUGUGUCCUGCCAGUGGUUUUACCCUAUGGUAGGUUACGUCAUGCUGUUCUACCACAGGGUAGAACCACGGACAGGAUACUGGGGCGCUCUCGGCAUCGGA